Molecule: ribosomal RNA, 240 nt
Filed under: uncultured bacterium
Lineage: Bacteria
Description: partial 16S ribosomal RNA
Rfam family: Bacterial small subunit ribosomal RNA
Source: RNAcentral
CCGGCACGGGUGAGUAACACGUAUGCAAUCCACCUGUAACAGGGGGAUAACCCGGAGAAAUCCGACUAAUACCCAUAAUAUGGGCGCUCCGCAUGGAGAGCCCAUUAAAGAGAGCAAUUUUGGUUUACAGACGAGCAUGCGCUCCAUUAGCCAGUUGGCGGGGUAACGGCCCACCAAAGCGACGAUGGAUAGGGGUUCUGAGAGGAAGGUCCCCCACAUUGGAACUGAGACACGGUCCAA